This 471-nucleotide long non-coding RNA is filed under the name Pan troglodytes (chimpanzee). RNAcentral describes it as "long non-coding RNA NONPTRT003354". Lineage: Eukaryota; Metazoa; Chordata; Mammalia; Primates; Hominidae. The record is from RNAcentral.
GGCCCUUCUGACCAUUGGAUUGGCCUAAGAAGAGAAUCAUCCCAUCGCAUUUGGAAAUGGACAGACAACAUGGAAUAUAAUAACAUGCUUGCUAUCAGAGGAGGUGGAGAAUGUGCCUUCCUGAAUGACAAUGGAGUCAACAGUGGCAGAAUCUACAUGAACAGAAAAUGGAUUUGUAGCAAGCCAAACAAUUAUGUCUACAGUUGCCAGUUAUGUCCCCACUGGGAUACUACCUAGUAGAGCUGUGAGAAGAGGGCCACCAUCCUCCAGACUCCAGAAUGGUGGAAUCAUCAGCAGCUUCCACCAUGCCCCUGGAAAAACUGCAAGUAACAGACCUGCACAUGUAUCCCCUACAUCUAAAAUAAAAGUUGGAAAAAAUGGAACUUUAAUGUUAAGAUGCACUGAUACAAAACUUAAAUUUUGGUCUACUACAUUAAAACAAUAUGAGUCUCUUAAAAUAUUGAUUUGUUC